AAAUAUGUAAUUCUUUUCAGGAAGGCAUUCAGUUGUUGGGAAACACAUUUCCAUAAGUUUUUUGAGAGCAAUUAAUUACGUUCAACAUUGGCUGACCUAGCACAGGAAGUAGCUCUUUAAAUAGUUUAAUUGGGUUUAGUUGACGAUUUGUGGGUUUAGAACUCAUUACUAAUUUAGUGAACAUGUUGAGCGAUACAGUUAGUCAGGUGGACAUCCGUCAGUCAGGUGGACAUCCGUCAGUCAGGUGGACAUCCGUCAGUCAGGUGGACAUCCGUCAGUCAGGUGGACAUCAGUCAGUCAGGUGGACAUCCGUCAGUCAGGUGGUCAUCAUGAAUGGCCUCCUCAAUAUGGUAUCAUCCGGUACCUAGACAGUUAUGACCCUAAAAUGAAUGACUGUGUUGAGUUCAUUGGAAGUGUGACCCAAAAAUGAACCAUAAGGUUGUCAUGAGUUAGUAGUUUUAAUUAAGAAUACUCAGGAAGAAACAGAGAACAAAGAAGAGGGCCCCCAUCUCAGGGGACUCUCAAAAGGAUGGUCAGAUGGCGUUAUGGGUAAAAGUGUUUGUAUAAAAG
This is a long non-coding RNA of Esox lucius (northern pike), 570 nucleotides long. NCBI's taxonomy places the organism in Eukaryota, Metazoa, Chordata, Actinopteri, Esociformes, Esocidae. The record is from Ensembl.